Non-coding RNA from Pelobates cultripes (western spadefoot toad), 210 nucleotides. NCBI's taxonomy places the organism in Eukaryota, Metazoa, Chordata, Amphibia, Anura, Pelobatidae. The record is from the annotation of a GenBank genome assembly.
GGGGUAAAUGAGUGGGUGCUGAGUUAGGGUAGCUUGGCUUAGGUGAUGGCAAGUGAUUGGUUAAUUGUAAAUUAGUGAAAGAAGCAGUGGAGGAAUCUCGGUUAAAGUGAACUUGUCGUGACAAGUCCACUUUAAGGCAAUUAUUGUCAAACUAUAAUUACUGUGGUUUAUGUUGUGGUGGAGUUCUGUAAUGCAAGCAUGCACAGAAAA